GCAGUGAAAAUUUUUUUUGAAAAUUUUGAAAUUUUUUAUUAUUUUUCACUAUCGAGCAACCUGACUCUGCCUACGCCCUGUUCCAUUUGGUCUGCACAAAACGAUUGAUUCUCUCUCCAUUACCACUUCCGUUCUCCCCUGCUUCCACCUUCUCCCCUUUCACUGAGAUUAUAAUAACCUGAUACUGAAAUUGCAGACCCAUUUUGAAGUGACGAAAUCCAGAAGACGGAAACGAUACAAAGAACAUAGAUGCCUGCCACGCAUCCGGCGAUUACCUGAGAUGGAGAUGGUAGUGACGAACUGCCGCUGCUCUCCCCUGUCUCUCUCUCUCUCUCUCUCUCUCUCUCUCUCUCUCUCUAUGUCUGUCUCUAUGUCUGUCUCUACGUCUUUCUAUAUUCCGAUGAAGAAACGCUAAAAACACCGGACGAUGGCACAGGCACGCACAGGCGCAUAUCCCCAUUUCCUCCAUACGAUAAUCAUCUCUAUCUCAUCACUAUCGGCGCCCGUCAAUAUUCCGUUGCAGUUGUUGAGGCCAAUUGAUUGCUCGAAAACCAAAGAAUAGUGUUAAUUUUGCCAUAUUCGACUUACAUCGGAGUUUUCGAUGGUGACAAUGGGUCGAACCAUCUACAUUCAUCACCAGUCAACUCUACCAUUACCUGCAGAAUAAUCCGUCACUCUACUUGCGAUGUCAUAGGUUCGCAUCCUUCCCUUUCCACUGCGUCUGUUUGUUGCGUGGUCUAUUAACGACUGUUACUUGAUACUAUCAUCAUCAUCAUCACUAUAAUAUGCUUCCUCAGUUCUAAAACAUUACAUAAUCAGGAUAAAUACUUAGAUAUGGAGAAAAUGGUUUGUUGUCUCUAA
This is a non-coding RNA of Lactuca sativa (garden lettuce), 861 nucleotides long. The record is from RefSeq and is a predicted model, not a curated record. NCBI's taxonomy places the organism in Eukaryota, Viridiplantae, Streptophyta, Magnoliopsida, Asterales, Asteraceae.